Artibeus jamaicensis (Jamaican fruit-eating bat) is the source of this 129-nucleotide small nucleolar RNA. NCBI's taxonomy places the organism in Eukaryota, Metazoa, Chordata, Mammalia, Chiroptera, Phyllostomidae. The record is from RefSeq and is a predicted model, not a curated record.
UUCCAAAGUGUUCAGUUCAGGGCAGUUUCCCUGUUCUGUUAAUUAAACCUGGGACAUUGGGACACAAGCUUAGGAGAGAUGAUUGGAUGGAAAGCAUUGCUCUAUUCAUUGACCUUCCAGCCUACAAAA